Molecule: ribosomal RNA, 468 nt
Filed under: uncultured bacterium
Lineage: Bacteria
Description: partial 16S ribosomal RNA
Rfam family: Bacterial small subunit ribosomal RNA
Source: RNAcentral
GAUGAACGCUGGCGGCGUGCUUAACACAUGCAAGUCGAACGGUGAAGGCGGAGCUUGCUCUGCUGGAUCAGUGGCGAACGGGUGAGUAACACGUGAGCAAUCUGCCCCUGACUCUGGGAUAAGCGCUGGAAACGGCGUCUAAUACUGGAUACGAGCUGCGAAGGCAUCUUCAGCAGCUGGAAAGAACUUCGGUCAGGGAUGAGCUCGCGGCCUAUCAGCUUGUUGGUGAGGUAACGGCUCACCAAGGCGUCGACGGGUAGCCGGCCUGAGAGGGUGACCGGCCACACUGGGACUGAGACACGGCCCAGGCUCCUACGGGAGGCAGCAGUGGGGAAUAUUGCACAAUGGGCGAAAGCCUGAUGCAGCAACGCCGCGUGAGGGACGACGGCCUUCGGGUUGUAAACCUCUUUUAGCAGGGAAGAAGCGAAAGUGACGGUACCUGCAGAAAAAGCGCCGGCUAACUACGUG